RNAcentral lists this ribosomal RNA (545 nucleotides) under uncultured bacterium. RNAcentral describes it as "partial 16S ribosomal RNA". It matches the Rfam family "Bacterial small subunit ribosomal RNA", at positions 355 to 893 of the family's 1533-position model. The record is from RNAcentral.
UGGGGAAUUUUGGACAAUGGGGGAAACCCUGAUCCAGCCAUCCCGCGUGUGCGAUGAAGGCCUUCGGGUUGUAAAGCACUUUUGGCAGGAAAGAAACGUCGCGGGUUAAUACCCCGCGAAACUGACGGUACCUGCAGAAUAAGCACCGGCUAACUACGUGCCAGCAGCCGCGGUAAUACGUAGGGUGCAAGCGUUAAUCGGAAUUACUGGGCGUAAAGCGUGCGCAGGCGGUUCGGAAAGAAAGAUGUGAAAUCCCAGAGCUUAACUUUGGAGCUGCAUUUUUAACUACCGGGCUAGAGUGUGUCAGAGGGAGGUGGAAUUCCGCGUGUAGCAGUGAAAUGCGUAGAUAUGCGGAGGAACACCGAUGGCGAAGGCAGCCUCCUGGGAUAACACUGACGCUCAUGCACGAAAGCGUGGGGAGCAAACAGGAUUAGAUACCCUGGUAGUCCACGCCCUAAACGAUGUCAACUAGCUGUUGGGGCCUUCGGGCCUUGGUAGCGCAGCUAACGCGUGAAGUUGACCGCCUGGGGAGUACGGCCGCAAGG